This 433-nucleotide unclassified non-coding RNA is filed under the name soil metagenome. RNAcentral describes it as "partial contains 5.8S ribosomal RNA, internal transcribed spacer 2, and large subunit ribosomal RNA". The stretch from base 1 to 120 matches the Rfam family "5.8S ribosomal RNA", at positions 35 to 154 of the family's 154-position model. The record is from RNAcentral.
GAUGAAGAACGCAGCGAAAUGCGAUACGUAAUGUGAAUUGCAGAAUUCAGUGAAUCAUCGAAUCUUUGAACGCAUAUUGCGCUCUCUGGUAUUCCGGAGAGCAUGCUUGUUUGAGUAUCAGUAAACACCUCAACUUCCAUAUCUUUUUUGAAAUGGGAGUUGGACUUGAGUGAUCCCAACGCUUUUCCUCACCGAAAAGUGGCGGGUUACUUGAAAUGCAGGUGCAGCUGGACUUUUCUCUGAGCUAUAACCAUAUCUAUUUAGUCUGCCUAAAAAACAGAUUAUUACCUUUGCUGCAGCUAACAUAAAGGAGAUUAGUUCUUGUGCUGACUGAUGCAGGAUUCACAAAGACAGGCUUCGGCCGACUUUGUAAACUCGAUCUCAAAUCAAGUAAGACUACCCGCUGAACUUAAGCAUAUCAAUAAGCGGAGGA